Molecule: unclassified non-coding RNA, 219 nt
Filed under: root metagenome
Description: partial contains small subunit ribosomal RNA, internal transcribed spacer 1, and 5.8S ribosomal RNA
Source: RNAcentral
UUUCCGUAGGUGAACCUGCGGAAGGAUCAUUAUCAAAAGUCAAGUCGGGGGCUGUAAAGCUCUCGUCUACACCCAUGUCUUUUGCGUACUCUUGUUUCCUCGGUGGCGCAAGCUGCCGAUUGGACAAACCAAAACCUUUUUUGUAAUUGCAAUCAGCGUCUCUUCUGAGUGGAUUAUACAAAUGAAUCAAAACUUUCAACAACGGAUCUCUUGGUUCUG